AUGCUUAUGGCUGUGGAUGCUGUGUGGUGUGAGGAAUGCUGCUGUACACUGACUGUGUGGCAUGAGGAAUGCUGCUAUGCACUGACUGUGUGGUGUGAGGAAUGCUGCUGUGCAUUGACGCUGCCUUUUUUCUGCCUUUUUUCUCCCUACACCUGCAUCCUUCUGGUGGCUCAGGUUGGACAACUAGGUGCCCAUGACCAACUCCUCAUUGUGGAUGGAUUUAGUCUGGUUGGACUUUCUCAGGAAAGGGCAGCAGAACUCAUGACUAGUACCAGUCCCAUGGUUACCCUGGAAGUUGCAAAUCAAGGCAUCCUCUCUCACUGCCUGUCCACCUUUCUUACCCAGCCAUUGUCCUCCAUGGUGCAGAGAGUUAAGAGCUAGUGACUCAAGCCAGGUUAGCCAACAUAUAGUGAUGCUAUAUUGAGAUAUGGCUCCUCCUAAAAGUUAUCAAAAUCUGGGGCUGGAAAGAUGGUUCAGUAUUUUACAACACCAGUGUUAGCCCAAAACUGCCCGAAACUCUAAUUUCAUGGGAUUUAAAGCACUCUUCUAAGUUCUCUGGAUUCGUGUGCACACAUGCUGAGCAAACACUCAUACACAUAAAUUAUUUUUAUAAAGAGAGCCCCUAAAAUUCCCAUGUAGUAGCUCCUACCACAGCUCUUGCUCAGCUCUUCAAGGAAGAAGUUAGUUGAGACAGAGUGCAUGAUGCUGAGAAAUACUUCUGGAUCAUGAUUCAGAUCAGAUCUAAUGGUACGGUUUCCUAGAUAUAGUCACAGUCUGUUAAGUGCAGUAUUGUGAACCCUCUUCUGACCCUGACUCAGCUUUGGAACCUGAACACCCUAGCCCUGACCUUGUAGCUACAGUAUCAACAACAAUAUCAGUGUCUGACAGUCUAGAAUCCUGUAUACUAAAGCGUAGAACAGGAACCAAUCCUGGCUAGACCAUGUGUUGGCAUGUUAAAGCAGAACACCAUUUACAAACUCAAAGAGGGACGUGGGUAACAAAUGAGUCCCAGGUGAGCAGACAGGAAGACUAAACUGUGAACAGGUGUGGAUAAUCACACCAGGUGACAGCACCAUGUGAUGCUGUCAUUCUGAUGGAUAAUAAUAUGUGUGUUAUCAAGUGAGAGAAGAGAAGUUGAGUGCUUUUUAAAAAAUACUCUAAAAAGAUUACUUUGUUAUUUACAAAUUAUAAGUCAGAUUUGAGAAAAUAAAAAAGGUCAAUUCCUCCCAUAGAUACAUACUAUGUAAAUGAAAAGUUUUUCUAGACAAUAUAUGUAAAAGCUUUUGAAAAUGUUCAUAUAAAGCUAUUUGUGGUGGCAUGUGCCUUUAAUGCCAGCUCUAAGGAUGCAGAAAGAGGCAGAUUUCUGUGAGUUUGGGGUCCUCCUGCCUGUGUAGUGAAUUCAGACCAGCCUCAAAUACGUAGUGAGACCCUGGGCUAUGGUUUCUUCUGAUUGCUUGGUUGUUUUUGCUUUUUUAGGCUGGUCAAAGAAUGUAUAUAAAAGAUCACCCUAUUAUACAAGAGCAGUUAUUAAAUAUAAGAAUUUUAGAUGCAUCCUUUGAAGCUCUUCAUCUUGGAAAGAACGAGGGAGAGAGAAUGAAUGAAUUGGCUUUGGUUUCAGUUUCAGAUCGUUAUGGCUCAGGUAAACCCAGAACACAGAGUGAAGUUUUUAUGAGUUUUAUUUUUCUUGGAUAUUUUAUGUAUUUACAUUUCAAAUGUUACCCACUUCCCAUGCUCUCCCAACCCCCUGCCCCUGCUUCUAUGAGUAUGAUCACGCUCCCACCCACCCAUUCCCAUCUCAGUGCCCUGGCAUGAAGAUGCUUGCAGCUGAACAUUACACUGAAUAUGGGGACCCCAAUGGAGGAGUUAGAGAAAGAACUGAAGGAGCUGAAGGGGUUUGCAACCCCACAGGAAGAACAACAAUAUCAUCCAACCAGACCCCACAGCUACCAUGUAGGAAACCAUGAACUCAUGAGUACACAAGGAGGGAUCCAUGGCUCCAGCCACUUAUGUAGCAGAGGAUGGCAUUGUCCAUCAUCGAUAGGUGGAAGAGUAAAGGUUUUGAGCUCUAUAAUAAUUCAGCUCAAAACGGCUCCCCAGAGAGUCCUCAAAAGCCUUGGACAGAGCACAGUCAUCCAACGAAGCUGCCUGGUAAAGACAGGCUGAUGAAAAACAGAGCAGAUCACCUUUUCAGCCCCAAUGUGACAAGUAAGAAGAGGCAUUCUCUAAGUCACCUUGUCACCCAGAUCAUUGUUUAUACUUUGAUCAUUGUUUUUUGUGUCCCUUGGCCAGCUAGAAUACAGUUUUCAUAGAGGUUUCAUAUUAGUCCAAAAUUAGGAUUUUAUUUGGAAAACCCUUGACCUUAUAGAUCAAAAUGCACUGUAAAUGUGUCUUCAAAAUGGAUCGGAUUUCCAAGUUAGUGGAGAUCAUUUUUACACUUAAAAGAGUGGCUAACAAAGUAGUGAGGAUGGAGUAUACUGAAUAGAGACCCCAACGUCCAAAAGGCUUCAACCUCCAAAAGGCUUCAUGUAUUUACUCUCAUGUCUCUAGCACAUAUCUCAUCUGGUCCUGGAGAAAGUCCUUCUCCUGGUCUGUGGCGUCAGGAGACUUGUAGGGGUGCGUGAAGCCGACUUCUGGUACACAUUUGUCUCUGGCUCAGUGCUAAACAUCCUGCCCUCAGUGUAUGAUGGGUAUGCCAUGGCUCCUGCAUUUAAAGGAAUGUUGUUAUGUUUAUUUUACUUGUCAUUUAAUGUGACACUUGGGUUUUUAACACUAUUUCUAAUAGAUCAGCCUUCUAUCCCUGGAGAGAAGUGUGCAUAUACCACUAGAACAGCAGCUAACAUCUGUCUCCACUGGAGACCUCUGCACUGAGGUCUGAGAUGAGCUUGAACACUUUCUUACUUGUGAAAUAUCUGACUUCUUUGAUACAGUUCUCAACAAAUUACAUUAACUAUCAUUCCUGAAUUUUGGUCAUUUAAGUUUAUUUCUAUUACACUAGUCAAAUAAAUUAAUGAAUCGGGGAACAUGAGAAUUAGUGUAAAUGAGUAAAUAAGAAAAUUUAAGAUUUUUUUUUAUUGAAAGCAUAGGGUCAAAAUUACAUUUUUUAUCAUGGCUUUUAAAAUAUAU
RNAcentral lists this long non-coding RNA (3123 nucleotides) under Rattus norvegicus (Norway rat). Its description in RNAcentral is "long non-coding RNA NONRATT031503". The record is from RNAcentral. Lineage: Eukaryota; Metazoa; Chordata; Mammalia; Rodentia; Muridae.